Molecule: unclassified non-coding RNA, 351 nt
Filed under: Stylophora pistillata
Lineage: Eukaryota; Metazoa; Cnidaria; Anthozoa; Scleractinia; Pocilloporidae
Description: prolactin-releasing peptide receptor-like, transcript variant X5
Source: RNAcentral
ACCAAUCAAUGGAUUUGCGCGCAGCAGAGCCAUGAUCAAAUUUUUGGAUAAAUAGGAUUAUUCUGCGAGCGAAGUUCUGAAUGAGUUGGAGCUUAGGAUUGUUUUUCCUGGAGGUAUUACCCAAACAGUAGAACGAGCGCAACCUCAGUCGCCUUCCUAUGACUGAGAGCAAGUUUCAGGAUGAAUUUUGUGAUGUAAUUGCGGAUUACGCUAAACAGUCUCAUUGUGUGCCGUGAAGAAACGUGAAUUUCAAGUCACAACAGAAAAGAGAAAGCAAACACCUUAACCAAAUACUGAGACGAUCGCUUAUCGCGGAAAACAAGAACAUUUUCCAACCUAUUCAAACAGUAA